Non-coding RNA from Stereum hirsutum FP-91666 SS1, 101 nucleotides. The record is from the annotation of a RefSeq genome assembly. Lineage: Eukaryota; Fungi; Basidiomycota; Agaricomycetes; Russulales; Stereaceae.
GGGCAUGUGGUGUAAUUGGUUAUCACGUUCGCUUCGCAUGACAACAUCCCCUGUGUAACAUAUGUUGCGAAAGGUAUCCGGUUCAAUUCCGGACAUGUCCA